AGCUCCAAUAGCGUAUAUUUAAGUUGUUGCAGUUAAAAAGCUCGUAGUUGGAUUUCUGCUGAGCUCGGCAGGUCUGCCUUUGAGGUGUGUACUUGCUGAGUUUGGCAUCUAUUCGAAAUGGGGCGUUGCACUUGAUUGUGUGGGUCUUAUUUCGGAGCGGAUACUUUGAGAAAAUUAGAGUGUUCCAAGCAUGCGUUAGCAUGGAUACUGCAGCAUGGGAUAUCAAGAUAAGACUUCGGUCUUUUCUGUUGGUUCCAUUGAUCGAAGUAAUGAUUAAGAGGGAUAGUUGGGGGCAUUAGUAUUGUUGCGUCAGAGGUGAAAUUCUUGGAUUGCAACACGACUGACUAAUGCGAAAGCAUCUGCCAAGGAUGUUUUCA
Molecule: ribosomal RNA, 377 nt
Filed under: uncultured eukaryote
Lineage: Eukaryota
Description: SSU rRNA
Rfam family: Eukaryotic small subunit ribosomal RNA
Source: RNAcentral